Molecule: non-coding RNA, 1914 nt
Organism: Paramisgurnus dabryanus
Lineage: Eukaryota; Metazoa; Chordata; Actinopteri; Cypriniformes; Cobitidae
Source: RefSeq, a predicted model, not a curated record
UGUUCCCCAGGUGUGUACAAAGCUAUUUCUAAAUAUAAUAAAACAGUUUAUUAAUCUGUGUGCAUGAUUUAUAAAACUGAGGAAACAGUUUAAUAAUCUGUGAGUACAGUUUAUAAACUGAGGGUACGAAUUACAAAACCGUGUUUGUGAUUUGCGGGUCUUGUUAUCUUUUCUUCAAGAGGUGACCUGCUGGGAUCCGUAGAUUUCUUUGCACCUACAGUACAGAUUACUUCAUUAAACUGAAUACUGCUUUUGGAUCGGCUUGUCUGCCCUGCGUUACAUAUACACUGCAAAAUGCUGGGAUGUUUCAACUCAUGGUUGGGUAAAAUAUGUUAUCUUAUUCAGCUUCAGUGGAGAAAGAAGUGAGGACGAGCUUUACUGAGAGAUGAAUUAACGAAUGAACUGUUCCACAGCUGAGGAAAGGUCCUCAGGGUCCAGGGAGAGAUGUGAAGCCACUUUAAAGCCCAGAGGAAACCUUCAGACAGCCUUCAGUCAAACACACACGCAUGCACACAAAUUUUUUAUACCAUACAAACUGUAUAUUUUAUACCCUUCCCCUAACCCCAACCAUCACAGAAACCCUUCUCCUACUUCACAUGUUCAAGAAACAUCAUUCUGUUUGAUUUAUAAGCUUGUUUCCUCAUGGGGGACAUCAAAAUGUCCCCACAAGGUGAGAAAAAUACUGGUAUUCCUAUCUUUGUGAGGACAAUUGGAAGUGAAGUAUUGUCCGACCCGGAUUAGAUUUUUAUGACAUCAGUGACAGAUCUGGAUUGUGUGAGUCAGACACAGCGUUCACACGAGCUGUAGGUUAGGAAAUAAACAGAUGUGUAAUAAUGAUAAUAAAACUCCAGUGGAUGCUGGGCUGCUACUUUUGGGAUUUGCUUUUCAGUUAUUAGUCAGCCGUACACAUGAGUUCCUAAGAUGAACUUUUAUGAUCUCUCAAUCACAUUUGCAAGAAUGUCAGAUAUUUUUCCAAAUUAUUCUUUAAACUAACAGUGUUGUCCUCAGUUACUGAGUUCCUUUUCAGCAUUAGUCAACUGAAAAAGGGCUGAUUAUCAUAAGCCCAACACUCUGACACGGCAUUCACACGGGGCGUCAGCGUUAACGCUUAACGGAAGGCUUGUCUGAAGCGUGGCCAACAGCCAAUCACUGUGGCCGCAACACAAGCUCCGGUCUUCCAUAAACGUAAUUGGCUGGCUCUGCCUAAGUUAUUUGCAUAAGGCGAUAUGAUUGGCUGACGCACGCUUUGCAGCUUGAAAAGUUGAGAAAUGUGCCGACGGAUCCACAAUUCAGUUCGCCAACGCUUGACGUCACGUCACCCAUUAAAAGUGAAUGGGAAGCGUCAACGCUUACGCCCCGUGUGAAUGCGCCGUUACGGUCCACCAGAUGAUAUUUGCUAAACUCUUUCUUGUUCAGUGGCUUUAAGAAGAGCUUUCACAGAGAUGAAGGAAAACGCUGAUAAUUGUCCCAGGCGUCCUGAUGAGCUCACAUCGGCCACAGAUUAUUUCCCCGUGAGGCUCUCUGAGGGACGAAGGCUCCGGCGGCGGCUCGUAUAAUCAGGUCUGACGCGGAGGCCGCGCACCCGUCAGAAUCGACGGGUCAACGACAGGGAGAAAAUGGCUUCCAGAGCCACGACAGAAGAUCUCUCACAUGUUGAGCGCAUUCAAGGGGUCAGGUGAAAUUGGAAAGACUGAGAUUAAGCGGAGAUGAUGAGGGGUUGAAGGUCUGGCCUAAACAAACACAGGCGCCCGGACACGUGUGGAGACUCAAGAGCUUUUAGCUGUGGAAUCAAAUAACUCUCUGGCUGUUUUCUGAAUGAAGAUGUUGACCGGCGGUCGAGAGGAAACCUAAAGUUUCCAUACCCAGUUUAAUGUCAUGCAAAUUAUUACUUCAGUAGAAAAUUACUCCAAUUCC